This 261-nucleotide long non-coding RNA is filed under the name Elaeis guineensis (African oil palm). RNAcentral's name for it is "long non-coding RNA (EGUI_LNC012235)". The record is from RNAcentral. Lineage: Eukaryota; Viridiplantae; Streptophyta; Magnoliopsida; Arecales; Arecaceae.
CAUUUUAUGUUCAAAUAAAUAUCUAGCAUUUUUCAGUGAAAAACUAUAUUCUGCAAAAUCUUGGAUGCAUUGAUAAUGGUAUGCAGCUGCUACCAACCAGGAUAGGUGAUUAACUUACAUAAAGAAGAAAUCUCACUUGAGAAAAGCAUAAAAAUAUUACCAAAGUAACAUAAAGUCAUACAAAAAAAUGGAGGUAGACAGUUGAUGUGUGACUUUUUUGUUAUAGUCAUACAUGUUAGAGAUAGAUGAAAGAGGAGGGGC